Molecule: ribosomal RNA, 497 nt
Filed under: uncultured bacterium
Lineage: Bacteria
Description: partial 16S ribosomal RNA
Rfam family: Bacterial small subunit ribosomal RNA
Source: RNAcentral
GAUGAACGCUGGCGGCGUGCCUAAUACAUGCAAGUCGAGCGAACAGACGAGGAGCUUGCUCCUCUGACGUUAGCGGCGGACGGGUGAGUAACACGUGGAUAACCUACCUAUAAGACUGGGAUAACUUCGGGAAACCGGAGCUAAUACCGGAUAAUAUAUUGAACCGCAUGGUUCAAUAGUGAAAGACGGUUUUGCUGUCACUUAUAGAUGGAUCCGCGCCGCAUUAGCUAGUUGGUAAGGUAACGGCUUACCAAGGCAACGAUGCGUAGCCGACCUGAGAGGGUGAUCGGCCACACAGGAACUGAGACACGGUCCAGACUCCUACGGGAGGCAGCAGUAGGGAAUCUUCCGCAAUGGGCGAAAGCCUGACAGAGCAACGCCGCGUGAGUGAUGAAGGUCUUCGGAUCGUAAAACUCUGUUAUUAGGGAAGAACAAAUGUGUAAGUAACUAUGCACGUCUUGACGGUACCUAAUCAGAAAGCCACGGCUAACUACGUG